GGAGGAAACCACAGGGCCGGUCCGCCCCCUUCGGAGGGGAAAAUACCCUGGCCCACAGACCGACCCCAGCGGCCCAGUCGACCCCAGAUCAUGAGUGUAUUUGAGAGUAGGGGGUUAGUCGGGUGGAAAGCGAGGACGCUGGAAGAACUGACUCUUGCAGGGGCCACACUAGGAGGUGUCUAUACAGUUCUCCUGCCUCCUGCCCCCGCAGCACGGGGGCGAACACAUCUGGAACAGGGCGUGUGGGGCUGCGAGAGAAGGUGUCAAGCUAUAGGACAGUAUUUUGUGAUUCGUCUCACAAACGACAAGACUGAAGAUUAGAGAAGGGAGAGCAGCGGCUUUCUCAAGGAUCCAGGGCCAAGAUGCAUCAAAGAAAAAACCCAGCAUGCCCAGGAUGCUGUGGAGCAGACCAAGGCCUGCAACCUGUGCCACAGGCUCAGAAGAAGAGAAAACACUCGGGAAGGGAUGGAGAGGCAGACAAAGCUGAAUGAAGAGUGCCUGUCGGGAGCACGGAGAGAACUAGAGGACUAUGGAAGGCCAGGAGCAGGAGACCUGUGGGCCCAGUGAGCUGCUCAGACCUCUGCACUCAGUGGGAUUCCCAACAGGCCUUGCUCAAAGCUCGCAGGGUUACUCUGAGGUCUGCCUCUGUUGUGGAUCAGAGCUCUGAAUUCGCACCCUGCCUUCCUUUGCUGUGGGACUAUCGAGGAUUCCAGAGACUCACAGCUCCCAACCUGCCAAAGGUGAGCUUUCUAGUCCUCCCCUCCCCCACAUCUGUAAGCCCCACCCUGUGGGUAAGAGAUACUCCCAAACUACAGCUGUUUCCACCCGCCCUGCCUGGGGACGCCAACCACAGACAAAGGCACCAAGCCAUCACUUGCUACCUCUUAGAAUCCCGUCCUCAAAUCUGGGCUUCACAGCCAGUAAGGAACGCAGCCCAUUCACACAGUGUGGCUGGUACGCAGCCAGCUAAGGAGCUGUCCCAUCCCCCAAACCAACAGAGCUGCUGCACCGCUGACGCCCGGUCUCUGGCCCCGCCCUAAGCCACAAGCACACACCCUAGCUAAAGUCAAGACUUCACCCAGCCCCAUACCGCAGAUGCAGACGCAGCUCAGGAGAAGGCUGAGUGGACCUGGGGUCUGGAAAACCUGUUGGCCUGCCUGCCGGUUCACUGUCUUAUCUCCACCCACUGCUCUCCGGUUUCUCUAGCGGGAGACACCCCCACCCAGUCACUGAAGACUCUGCCUCAUACGGCCCUGGGUUGUUCUUCCAAGUCGCCUCCUUAGACCCAGCGACGCAAGACUUGUCCCCCACAAGUGAGCUCCCGCUCCUGAGAUCUUCAGGGCUCCUGCACGAGGAUUAUAGGAGUCUGUCCUUGUUACCUCCGUGAUGUAGCAUGCGGAGGCCAUCAGGCCCGGGGACUGCAGUUGGCCACGGGGACUGUAAGGCCAGAGCCGCAUUCAUGGCUCCGACAACUGAUAAGCCUGUCACUGUUACCACAUCCACAGUUAGACCUAUGCUGGCUUCUCUGAGCCCUUCAGAAACACCCUCCCAAAGAUGUCCCGGAGGCUCUGCGUGCUUCAUCUAACCCCUCUUUCCUCCGACGAAAUUCUUUGCAGUCCCACAGUCAAGCUGAUAAGGCUUGUGUCUGAUUUGGGGGUGCCUCUGAGGCCUCAGAAGUUCUCCUACUUGUCAGUAUCUCCAGGCCUCGUAUUGCUGUAGUAAUAAAUAGAUGGAUAUGGAUCUG
Long non-coding RNA from Mastomys coucha (southern multimammate mouse), 1744 nucleotides. RefSeq lists it as uncharacterized. The transcript is spliced from 3 exons. Lineage: Eukaryota; Metazoa; Chordata; Mammalia; Rodentia; Muridae. The record is from RefSeq and is a predicted model, not a curated record.